Oncorhynchus tshawytscha (Chinook salmon) is the source of this 1453-nucleotide long non-coding RNA. NCBI's taxonomy places the organism in Eukaryota, Metazoa, Chordata, Actinopteri, Salmoniformes, Salmonidae. The record is from Ensembl.
UUUGUCUCUCCUGGUGUGGUGUCUGGAGGAGUAGGGGUUUGUCUCUCCUGGUGUGGUGUCUGGAGGAGUAGGGGGUUUGUCUUUCCUGAUGUAGUAUCUGGAGGAGUAGGGGUUUGUCUCUCCUGGUGUGGUGUCUAGAGGAGUAGGGGGUUUCUCUCCUGGUGUGCUGUCUGGAGGAGUAGGGGCUUUGUCUCUAUUGGUGUUGUGUCUAGAGGAGUAGGGGGUUGUCUCUUCUGGUGUGGUGUCUGGAGGAGUUGGGGUUUGUCUCUGCUGGUGAUGUGUCUAGAGGAGUAGGGGGUUUGUCUCUCCUGGUUUCUAGGAGUAGGGGUUUGUCUCUCCUGGUGUGGUGUCUGAAGGAGUAGGGGGUUUUCUAUCCUGGUGUGGUGUCUGGAGGAGUGGGGGUUUGUCUCUCCUGGUGUCUGGAGGUGUAGGGGUUUGUCUCUCCUGGUGUGGUGUCUGGAGGAGUAGGGGUUUGUCUCUCCUGGUGUGGUGUCUAGAGGUGUAGAGGUUUGUCUCUCCUGGUGUGGUGUCUAGAGGAGUAGGGGGUUUGUCUCUCCUGUUGUGGUGUCUGGAGGAGUAGGGGUUUGUCUCUCCUGGUGUGGUGUCUGGAGGAGUAGGGGUUUGUCUCUCCUGGUGUGGUGUCUGAAGGAGUAGGGGUUUUGUCUUUCCUGAUGUGGUGUCUGGAGGAGUAGGGGGAUUGUCUCUCCUGGUGUAGAGAUGUAGAGCUUUCUCUCUCCUGGUGUGGUGUCUAGAGGAGUAGGGGUUGUCUCUCCUGGUCUGGUGUCUGGAGGAGUAGGUGGUUUGUCUCUCCUGGUGUGGUGUCUGGAGGAAUAAGGGUUUGUCUCUCCUGGUGUGGUGUCUAGAGGAGUUGGGGUUUUGUCUCUCCUGGUGUGGUGUCUGGAGGUGUAGGGGUUUGUCUCUCCUGGUGUGGUGUCUGGAGGAGUAGGGGAUUUGUCUCUCCUGGUGUGUUGUAUGGAGGUGUAGGGGUUUGUCUAUCCUGGUGUGGUGUCUGGAGGAGUAGGGGUUUGUCUCUCCUGGUGUGGUGUCUGAAGGAGCAGGGGGUUUGUCUUUCCUGUUGUGGUGUCUGGAAGAGUAGGGGUUUGUCUCUCCUGGUGUUGUGUCUGGAGGAGUCGGGGUUUGUCUCUCCUGGUGCGGUGUCUAGAGGAGUUGGGGUUUGUCUCUCCUGGUGUCUGGAGGAGUAGGGGGUUUGUCUCUCCUGGUGUGCUGUCUAGAGGAGUAGGGGUUUGUCUCUCCUGGUCUGGUGUCUGGAUGAGUAGGUGGUUUGUCUCUUAUGGUGUGGUGUCUGGAGGAAUAAGGGUUUGUCUCUCCUGGUGUGGUGUCUGGAGGAGUUGGGGUUUUGUCUCUCCUGGUGUGGUGUCUGGAGGUGUAGGGUUUUGUCUCUCCCGGUGUGGUGUCUGGAGGAGUAGGUGGUUUGUCUCUCAUUGUUACGUUC